Molecule: ribosomal RNA, 650 nt
Filed under: uncultured Alphaproteobacteria bacterium
Lineage: Bacteria; Pseudomonadati; Pseudomonadota; Alphaproteobacteria
Description: bacterial SSU rRNA
Rfam family: Bacterial small subunit ribosomal RNA
Source: RNAcentral
GUCAGUGGCAGACGGGUGAGUAACACGUGGGAACGUACCUUUUGGUUCGGAACAACUGAGGGAAACUUCAGCUAAUACCGGAUAAGCCCUUACGGGGAAAGAUUUAUCGCCGAAAGAUCGGCCCGCGUCUGAUUAGCUAGUUGGUGAGGUAAUGGCUCACCAAGGCGACGAUCAGUAGCUGGUCUGAGAGGAUGAUCAGCCACAUUGGGACUGAGACACGGCCCAAACUCCUACGGGAGGCAGCAGUGGGGAAUAUUGGACAAUGGGCGCAAGCCUGAUCCAGCCAUGCCGCGUGAGUGAUGAAGGCCCUAGGGUUGUAAAGCUCUUUUGUGCGGGAAGAUAAUGACGGUACCGCAAGAAUAAGCCCCGGCUAACUUCGUGCCAGCAGCCGCGGUAAUACGAAGGGGGCUAGCGUUGCUCGGAAUCACUGGGCGUAAAGGGUGCGUAGGCGGGUUUCUAAGUCAGAGGUGAAAGCCUGGAGCUCAACUCCAGAACUGCCUUUGAUACUGGAAGUCUUGAGUAUGGGAGAGGUGAGUGGAACUGCGAGUGUAGAGGUGAAAUUCGUAGAUAUUCGCAAGAACACCAGUGGCGAAGGCGGCUCACUGGCCCAUAACUGACGCUGAGGCACGAAAGCGUGGGGAGCAAACAGG